RNAcentral lists this ribosomal RNA (499 nucleotides) under Dermocarpella sp. HSC5. RNAcentral describes it as "bacterial SSU rRNA". It matches the Rfam family "Bacterial small subunit ribosomal RNA", at positions 189 to 702 of the family's 1533-position model. Lineage: Bacteria; Bacillati; Cyanobacteriota; Cyanophyceae; Pleurocapsales; Dermocarpellaceae. The record is from RNAcentral.
AAUCAGGCUUCCGGUGAAAUAAUUUAUUGCCAAAUGAGGCGCUCGCGUCCGAUUAGUUAGCUGGUGGGGUAAGCUCCUACCAAGACAGCGAUCGGUAGUUGGUGUGAGAGGAUGAGCAGCCACACUGGGACUGAGACACGGCCCAGACUCCUACGGGAGGCAGCAGUGGGGAAUUCUCCGCAAUGGGCGAAAGCCUGACGGAGCAAUACCGCGUGAGGGAGGAAGGCUUUUGGGUUGUAAACCUCUUUUAUUAAGGAAGAAGCAAGUGACGGUACUUAAUGAAUCAGCAUCGGCUAACUCCGUGCCAGCAGCCGCGGUAAUACGGAGGAUGCAAGCGUUAUCCGGAAUCAUUGGGCGUAAAGCGUCCGCAGGUGGUCUAUCGUGUCUGCCGUCAAAGACAGAAGCUCAACUUCUGAAAGGCAGUGGAAACUGGUGGACUAGAGUACGGUAGGGGUCGAGGGAAUUCCCAGUGUAGCGGUGAAAUGCGUAGAUAUUGGGA